RNAcentral lists this ribosomal RNA (558 nucleotides) under Beltraniopsis sp. KaTaQsal10LF3. RNAcentral describes it as "eukaryotic LSU rRNA". It matches the Rfam family "Eukaryotic large subunit ribosomal RNA", at positions 38 to 606 of the family's 3401-position model. Lineage: Eukaryota; Fungi; Ascomycota; Sordariomycetes; Xylariales. The record is from RNAcentral.
GCAUAUCAAUAAGCGGAGGAAAAGAAACCAACAGGGAUUCCCCUAGUAACGGCGAGUGAAGCGGGAACAGCUCAAAUUUGAAAUCUGGCCCUCGGGUCCGAAUUGUAAUUUGUAGAGGAUGCUUUUGGUUAGGUACUUUCCGAGUUCCCUGGAACGGGACGCCUUAGAGGGUGAGAGCCCCGUACGGUUGGAUACCGAGCCUCUGUAAAGCUCCUUCGACGAGUCGAGUAGUUUGGGAAUGCUGCUCUAAAUGGGAGGUAAAUUUCUUCUAAAGCUAAAUACUGGCCAGAGACCGAUAGCGCACAAGUAGAGUGAUCGAAAGAUGAAAAGCACUUUGAAAAGAGGGUUAAAUAGCACGUGAAAUUGUUGAAAGGGAAGCGUUUAUGACCAGACUUUUUCCAGGCGGAUCAUCCGGUGUUCUCACCGGUGCACUUCGUCUGGUUGAGGCCAGCAUCGGUUUUCGUGGUGGGAUAAAAGCAGUAGGAAUGUGACUCCUCCGGGAGUGUUAUAGCCUAUUGUAUAAUACCGCCAUGGGGACCGAGGUUCGCGCUCUGCAAG